CCUACGGGAGGCAGCAGUGAGGAAUAUUGGUCAAUGGGCGAGAGCCUGAACCAGCCAAGUCGCGUGAGGGAGUACUGCCCUAUGGGUUGUAAACCUCUUUUGUCGGGGAGCAAAAGCCGGACGUUUCCGGCUGUGAGAGUACCCGAAGAAAAAGCAUCGGCUAACUCGGGGCCAGCAGCCGCGGUAAUACGGAGGAUGCGAGCGUUAUCCGGAUUUAUUGGGUUUAAGGGGUGCGCAGGCGGAUUUUUAAGUCAGCGGUAAAAUCGUGGGGCUCAACCCCAUCCAGCCGUUGAAACUGGGGAUCUAGAGUGUGCGAGAGGUAUGCGGAAUGCGUGGUGUAGCGGUGAAAUGCAUAGAUAUCACGCAGAACCCCGAUUGCGAAGGCAGCAUACCGGUGUACAACUGACGCUCAGGCACGAAAGCGUGGGUAUCGAACAGGAUUAGAUACCCGGGUAGUC
RNAcentral lists this ribosomal RNA (458 nucleotides) under uncultured bacterium. Its description in RNAcentral is "partial 16S ribosomal RNA". It matches the Rfam family "Bacterial small subunit ribosomal RNA", at positions 338 to 795 of the family's 1533-position model. The record is from RNAcentral.